RNAcentral lists this ribosomal RNA (258 nucleotides) under Triticum aestivum (bread wheat). RNAcentral's name for it is "partial small subunit ribosomal RNA". Lineage: Eukaryota; Viridiplantae; Streptophyta; Magnoliopsida; Poales; Poaceae. The record is from RNAcentral.
AUGGCUUCAUCUCUUAAGGCGGCCGCCGCUGUCGCCGUUUGUGUCAUGCUCGUCCUGAACCUGGGCCACCCGGCGGCAGCCACAGAAUGUGACAAUUGUCUGGGUGAUUGUGUUCCCAUUUGCGUCGCCUUCGCUCAAACGUCAUGCAGUGGCAUAUGCAACGCUACACCUCCAUCUCCUGCAUGCCAGACAUGCAAGAAUGCAGCCUUAAUUGAGUGCGGUGCAACAUGCUACGGCGGUUGUACCCUCUUCUGCUAG